GAUGAACGCUGGCGGCGUGCCUAACACAUGCAAGUCGAACGUGAGAGGAUAGCAAUAUUCUUGAAAGUGGCGCACGGGUGAGUAAUACGUAGGUAACCUGCCCUGAAGCGGGGGAUAACAGUUGGAAACGACUGCUAACACCGCAUAUUGCCGGAAUGCUGGGAAGUGUUCUGGUGAAAACUCUGGUGCUUCAGGAGGGGCCUGCGGCCGAUUAGCUAGUUGGCGGGGUAAGAGCCCACCAAGGCGACGAUCGGUAGCUGGUCUGAGAGGACGAUCAGCCACACGGGAACUGAGACACGGUCCCGACUCCUACGGGUGGCUG
This 322-nucleotide ribosomal RNA is filed under the name uncultured Chloroflexota bacterium. Its description in RNAcentral is "bacterial SSU rRNA". It matches the Rfam family "Bacterial small subunit ribosomal RNA", at positions 28 to 351 of the family's 1533-position model. The record is from RNAcentral. Lineage: Bacteria; Bacillati; Chloroflexota.